CUCAUCAAGAGUUGGUGGAGGGACAGGCCCAAUGAUACCGCGGCAACCAUUUAGUACAAGCUAAAACGGUGCCAAUUCCGGCGAGAAAUUCUUGCGAGAUG
RNAcentral lists this non-coding RNA (101 nucleotides) under human gut metagenome. RNAcentral describes it as "SAM riboswitch (S box leader)". It matches the Rfam family "SAM riboswitch aptamer (S box leader)". From Rfam's summary of the family: The SAM riboswitch is found upstream of a number of genes which code for proteins involved in methionine or cysteine biosynthesis in Gram-positive bacteria. The record is from RNAcentral.